This 765-nucleotide long non-coding RNA is filed under the name Androctonus crassicauda. Lineage: Eukaryota; Metazoa; Arthropoda; Arachnida; Scorpiones; Buthidae. The record is from RNAcentral.
UAUGAAUUAAUAAUUAAAUUAGAAUUUUUAAUUAAUUUAUUCAAAGAACUUGUAACCUUCAAACAGAAUUUGAAAAUAUACAUUAGAUAUGUAGAUAAUCUCCUAACUAUAUGGAAACAACAUAAUGACACUGAGUACUUCAUUAAAUCACUGAGCUCAAAGUAUAGGCCUGAAAUUAAUCUUCGACCAAAAAAGUAAUUCUAGUAUAGACUAUUUAGAUGUCCAGAUAAGAAUAGCAAGGACAAAUUAUAUUACUUUGGUUUACAGGAAACCAACUUAUGUCAAAAGUAUCAUACUGAAGUGAUCAAAUAACCUGAUUAAAUAUAAAGCAACAUUUAGGGCAUAUUUCGAGAGGCUAUUAACACAUUGUUCAACAGAUGAAACAAAAGAGAGAGAAGAAAUUUAUCUUUAAAGAAGGUAAAAGGCAUAGUUAUAAUAAUUUUAUGCAGAAGAUUUAUAUGGAAAUCAUUCAAAAUAUAAUUGAGACCUUACAGACAAGUUACAUAGCGUGCAUCUGUCCUCUGAUCAACAAGAACAACAAAUGUGAUUUAUAUGUAGCCUGCUCUAUGAAGUGGCUACAUAUAAAUCACAUAGAAAGAUAACAGAAAGAACUGAUGGGUAACAUUAGCAUCUGAAAGAAAUAAGAUCUUAUUUUCUGCAGUUAGAAAGAAACAAUAAAAAAAAAAACUAUAAACAACAAAAAUUGGAAGUUUAUAAGAUUCCAUCUUUAAUAGGACUCUAGAUCAGCAAAAGGUAUAUUAGUGU